GGCGCCAUCGUCUAGGGGUCUAGGACACCGCCCUCUCAAGGCGGAGGCACGGGUUCGAUUCCCGUUGGCGCCA
RNAcentral lists this transfer RNA (73 nucleotides) under candidate division Zixibacteria bacterium SM23_81. Its description in RNAcentral is "tRNA-Glu". It matches the Rfam family "tRNA". Rfam says of the family: Transfer RNA (tRNA) molecules are approximately 80 nucleotides in length. Their secondary structure includes four short double-helical elements and three loops (D, anti-codon, and T loops). Lineage: Bacteria; Pseudomonadati; Candidatus Zixiibacteriota. The record is from RNAcentral. RNAcentral also lists the same sequence under 1 other name.